Molecule: non-coding RNA, 501 nt
Organism: Thamnophis sirtalis
Lineage: Eukaryota; Metazoa; Chordata; Lepidosauria; Squamata; Natricidae
Source: RefSeq, a predicted model, not a curated record
CCCAAAUGUUUCUCUCUUACGUCCAAUCCUCCUCCCGAUAUAAUCUUGGCAACCACUACCAAAGCCCUCCCGGAUCGAGAUCUGGAGCAUCCGAGAGAGGCCGUUGUCAACCAUCACACACCUGGCCUGGUAGCUCAGGAAGCCAAAUUCUUCCCUUCUUCCCCGCUGGGAGAGAAGGCCGUGCCACCUCUGGAAGCGAGCGACAGCAAUAAGUUUCUGCCCCGGACUCUCUCGCUACGGAAUUCCAUCACCAAAAUUCUUUCUGAAGCUGGGGAGUCUCUGGAGGAUGAGUGGGACUCCAUCGCCAACCUGGCUUCGGCUUGUAACAACAUCCUGGAAGCUCUCUCCCGCGAAGGCCAGCAUAUCCUGGAGAAUAGAGACGGCAGCACAGGGACCCAGAGAUGCGCCAGUCAGCCACAAGCGAUUGAUGAGUAAGAAGGAAAUUUCUCUCUUUCUCUCUCUUUCUUUCUCUCUCUCUGUAUCUCUCUGUCUCUCUCUCUG